Molecule: ribosomal RNA, 2227 nt
Filed under: uncultured Rikenella sp.
Lineage: Bacteria; Pseudomonadati; Bacteroidota; Bacteroidia; Bacteroidales; Rikenellaceae
Description: partial contains 16S ribosomal RNA, 16S-23S ribosomal RNA intergenic spacer, and 23S ribosomal RNA
Rfam family: Bacterial small subunit ribosomal RNA (bases 1-1502)
Source: RNAcentral
GAUAAACGCUAGCGGCAGGCCUAACACAUGCAAGUCGAGGGGCAGCAUAUGGAUUGCUUGCAAUCCAUGAUGGCGACCGGCGCACGGGUGCGUAACGCGUAUGUAACUUGCCUUAUGCAGGAGGAUAACCCGAAGAAAUUCGGCCUAAUACUCCAUAAGUGUCAGAGAGGCAUCUUUCGGGCAUAAAAGAUUUAUCGGCAUAAGAUAGACAUGCGUGACAUUAGCUAGUCGGUGAGGUAACGGCUCACCGAGGCAACGAUGUCUAGGGGUUCUGAGAGGAAGGUCCCCCACACUGGUACUGAGACACGGACCAGACUCCUACGGGAGGCAGCAGUGAGGAAUAUUGGUCAAUGGACGGAAGUCUGAACCAGCCAUGCCGCGUGCAGGAUGACGGCUCUAUGAGUUGUAAACUGCUUUUGUACGAGAAUAAUAGUUCUUACGUGUAGGGAUUUGAAUGUAUCGUACGAAUAAGGAUCGGCUAACUCCGUGCCAGCAGCCGCGGUAAUACGGAGGAUUCGAGCGUUAUCCGGAUUUAUUGGGUUUAAAGGGUGCGUAGGCUGUUGGAUAAGUUAGAGGUCAAAUGUCGGGGCUUAACCCCGUGCCUGCCUCUGAUACUGUUCGACUAGAGAGCGGAUGCAGCAGGCGGAAUGAGUAGUGUAGCGGUGAAAUGCUUAGAUAUUACUCAGAACACCGAUUGCGCAGGCAGCUUGCUAAUCCGCAUCUGACGCUGAUGCACGAAAGCGUGGGUAGCGAACAGGAUUAGAUACCCUGGUAGUCCACGCAGUAAACGAUGAUAACUCGUUGUCGGCGAUAUACAGUCGGUGACCCAGCGAAAGCGAUAAGUUAUCCACCUGGGGAGUACGACCGCAAGGUUGAAACUCAAAGGAAUUGACGGGGGCCCGCACAAGCGGAGGAACAUGUGGUUUAAUUCGAUGAUACGCGAGGAACCUUACCCGGGCUUGAAAGUUAGCGACCGCCUUUGAAAGAGGGCUUCUCUUCGGAGCGCGAAACUAGGUGCUGCAUGGUUGUCGUCAGCUCGUGCCGUGAGGUGUCGGGUUAAGUCCCAUAACGAGCGCAACCCCUGUUCACAGUUACCAGCACGUGAUGGUGGGGACUCUGUGAAGACUGCCGGUGUAAACCGCGAGGAAGGUGGGGAUGACGUCAAAUCAGCACGGCCCUUACGUCCGGGGCGACACACGUGUUACAAUGGCCGGUACAGAGGGCAGCGACCUGGUGACAGGAAGCGAAUCUCGUAAAGCCGGUCUCAGUUCGGAUUGGAGGCUGCAACUCGCCUCCAUGAAGUUGGAUUCGCUAGUAAUCGCGCAUCAGCCAUGGCGCGGUGAAUACGUUCCCGGGCCUUGUACACACCGCCCGUCAAGCCAUGGAAGUCGGGGGUGCCUGAAGUACGUGACCGCAAGGAGCGUCCUAGGGCAAAACCGAUAACUAGGGCUAAGUCGUAACAAGGUAGCCGUACCGGAAGGUGCGGCUGGAACACCUCCUUUCUGGAGUGCCCGAUUUCGACACCGAUUUCUUCCAACUGCAAUACUUUUUUUUGAUUUCACACGAUACCCCCUCUCGCACCGGGAUGGUGCCAAGAUCGGAUAUCGGCGUAAUAGAGGCCACCCCUAACCGGGGUUGCCCGAAAAAGUUCAUUGACACGGAUUAAGGACGAGUAAGAGCGGCAUUGUUAGAUGCCGCGGGCGAUAUUCAAGACUUCAAUGAGAUUAAGAAUAUCGUCAAGUAAGAAAGUAUGCAAGGGCGUACGGGGGAUGCCUAGGCUUAUGGAGGCUACGAAGGACGUGUACAGCUGCGAAAAGCUCCGGGGAUCUGCCAAAGAGACUAGAUCCGGAGAUAUCCGAAUGGGGCAACCCGGCGGUCUGAAGGGCCGUCACUCUAUGGUAAAUAGAGAGCCAACCCGCUGAACUGAAACAUCUAAGUAAGCGGAGGAAAAGAAAGAAACCUCGAUUUCCCGAGUAGCGGCGAGCGAAAAGGAAACAGCCUAAACCACGGUUGUUACGGCAAUCGUGGGGUCGUAGGACUGCGCGAUGACCUUGUCCGAGAACUGGAACCGUCUGGAAAGUCGGGCCAUAGCGGGUGAAAGCCCCGUACAGGUAAUCGAGACAAGCGAUAGCAGUAUCCUGAGUAGGGCGGGACACGUGUAAUCCUGUCUGAAUCCGCGGGGCCCACCCCGCAAGGCUAAAUACUCCCAUAAGACCGAUAGUGAACC